This 69-nucleotide transfer RNA is filed under the name Narcine bancroftii (Caribbean electric ray). RNAcentral's name for it is "tRNA-Met". The record is from RNAcentral. Lineage: Eukaryota; Metazoa; Chordata; Chondrichthyes; Torpediniformes; Narcinidae.
AGUAAGGUCAGCUAAAUAAGCUUUUGGGCCCAUACCCCAACCAUGUUGGUUAAUAUCCUCCCUCUACUA